RNAcentral lists this ribosomal RNA (484 nucleotides) under uncultured bacterium. RNAcentral's name for it is "bacterial SSU rRNA". It matches the Rfam family "Bacterial small subunit ribosomal RNA", at positions 29 to 507 of the family's 1533-position model. The record is from RNAcentral.
AUUGAACGCUGGCGGCAUGCCUUACACAUGCAAGUCGAACGGCAGCACGGGGGCAACCCUGGUGGCGAGUGGCGAACGGGUGAGUAAAGCAUCGGAACGUAUCCUGGAGUGGGGGAUAACGUAGCGAAAGUUACGCUAAUACCGCAUAUUCUCUGAGGAGGAAAGUGGGGGACCGCAAGGCCUCACGCUUUGGGAGCGGCCGAUGUCGGAUUAGCUAGUUGGUGAGGUAAAGGCUCACCAAGGCGACGAUCCGUAGCGGGUCUGAGAGGAUGAUCCGCCACACUGGGACUGAGACACGGCCCAGACUCCUACGGGAGGCAGCAGUGGGGAAUUUUGGACAGUGGGGGCAACCCUGAUCCAGCCAUGCCGCGUGAGUGAAGAAGGCCUUCGGGUUGUAAAGCUCUUUCGGCGGGGAAGAAAUCGCACGGAUUAAUACUCUGUGUGGAUGACGGUACCCGAAUAAGAAGCACCGGCUAACUACGUG